AUUAUUACAUCAUAUUUUGUUAAUUUUUUAAAAAACACCACAUGCAUAUUACUGUAGCUUCACAUAUUGGAGAUUUGGUUUUGUAUCACGACAAUGGUUUUGUUGUUUGAGUAUCAGUUUAGAUAAUGCAUGUCAAUUGGUUCACCCCACAAAAAGGCAGUUGUUCAUUAUGUCAUUUUCAAGCUACACAAGUAGAUCAUCAGACUCUCAACCAUCAGCAAAGCAGAGCAACCAUGAUAAUUUUAACUCAAUAGUCACAUUUGGAUUGCAAGCAUGGGUGGAUGUAUGUUAGGAGUAUGUGGGACACGUGCCCCACAUUGAUUAUAAUGUUUUGCGAGUAUUAGAGUUUACAAUGGCUACUUAGCAUCUUUGGUCGUAAUGUAGUAAAGUAUUACCAUUCCCAUGUUUAGAUCCCUUUGAUGUUGCAAUGUUUUCUUUAUGUGUUUAUUAGUUAUCCAAAUAACAUUAUUCUAAUUUCUUUUUUGGUUGGUCUUUCUUAUAAAAAUGUCAAUUCUAAGUUUUGUUAUCAUUAUUUU
RNAcentral lists this small RNA (536 nucleotides) under Arabidopsis thaliana (thale cress). Its description in RNAcentral is "ATSL103870". The record is from RNAcentral. Lineage: Eukaryota; Viridiplantae; Streptophyta; Magnoliopsida; Brassicales; Brassicaceae.